GGAGAAUAAGGUAAAAUGUUUAUGAAGGUGACACUGUGUAUGGCAUGCUGCACUAAGUUUCUUGCUUUUAUGCUCUCACGCACUCUUUCUCCAUUCCCCUCUCUCUUCUUCCAUCUGCUGGAGCUGCUCGCCUUUCUGUCGGGGACACCGAAGCAUUCAUGCGGCUGAGAGCCAUUCUAUUAUUCAGCUAUAAGUUCUGGAUGACAAAGGAAAGAGAAGAGGGGCAAAUCACCCACUGAAGAGGAAGAAAAUAGCCACACAUUUUGAUGCCUGGAGGAUGAAACCUCCUAUGUUAUUUCCUUCCGUCUUUCUCUCUAUGUCCAUUUUGAUUAAUGGACAUCAUUAGAAAUAGACACAGGCUAUCAGAACUUGAAUGAAUCAGGCAGCUGCAGUUACCCACGAUGCUCUGCAUAGUCGGAGCAGUAUAGAGUGGUGCAGCUUUAAUGACAAAUCGAAAUGACAGAAUAUGUUUGGAAAAAAAAUCCAUGGCAACCAUGGCUGCAAAGGACGGCAAUCGAUAUCGUUUUGGUUAUGCAGCAGCUACAAGUUUGAACUGAAGAGGACAGAGAGCCAAAUAGAAAGGAGGAUGGAUAUGAUGUCUCUGGGGGGUAGAGGGGCUGCACAAGAGUAAUGGCCCGGCUGUGGACAGCAAACAUAUCCAUCCAUAUG
Cyprinus carpio (common carp) is the source of this 669-nucleotide long non-coding RNA. The record is from Ensembl. Lineage: Eukaryota; Metazoa; Chordata; Actinopteri; Cypriniformes; Cyprinidae.